This 149-nucleotide ribosomal RNA is filed under the name Phoma sp. JS2122. Its description in RNAcentral is "5.8S ribosomal RNA". The stretch from base 1 to 134 matches the Rfam family "5.8S ribosomal RNA", at positions 21 to 154 of the family's 154-position model. From Rfam's summary of the family: 5.8S ribosomal RNA (5.8S rRNA) is a component of the large subunit of the eukaryotic ribosome. It is transcribed by RNA polymerase I as part of the 45S precursor that also contains 18S and 28S rRNA. Functionally, it is thought that 5.8S rRNA may be involved in ribosome translocation. The record is from RNAcentral. Lineage: Eukaryota; Fungi; Ascomycota; Dothideomycetes; Pleosporales; Didymellaceae.
UUGGUUCUGGCAUCGAUGAAGAACGCAGCGAAAUGCGAUAAGUAGUGUGAAUUGCAGAAUUCAGUGAAUCAUCGAAUCUUUGAACGCACAUUGCGCCCCUUGGUAUUCCAUGGGGCAUGCCUGUUCGAGCGUCAUUUGUACCUUCAAGC